Molecule: unclassified non-coding RNA, 406 nt
Filed under: Hevea brasiliensis (rubber tree)
Lineage: Eukaryota; Viridiplantae; Streptophyta; Magnoliopsida; Malpighiales; Euphorbiaceae
Source: RNAcentral
UCAAGAAAAGCAUAAUUCAAAUGGACAGAGGCUAGCCCCAAUUCAAGAACAACCACCGAGGCAUUCCAAUGGGCAAACGCUAAUACCAAUAGAAGAGGAGCAACCGAGGCACUUGCUGGUUCACCACCACCAUCAGCAGCAGCAGCAGCAGCAGAAUUCGACCUCAGGGGCAGUUGUGGUUACCACACAAUGGGAAACCUUUGAUUCUUUCCCUGCGUUAAUGCCAGUCCCUUCAACAUCCACCUCAGUCACAAAUAAUAAUUCAGUUCAUCAACCCAAGUUCCCAUGGGAUUUCUUCGACUAGGCUCUAUGCCACAUCGCCACGGGCACCUUGAUGUUGUUUCUUCAAAUGUGUGUGGAUGUGCUUUGGAUUUGUCCCAGUUGGUUUGUUAUCAUCUCCAUUCUU